CUUGGCUAUAAUAAGAGGUCCAGCCUGCCCAGUGAAUUUUAAACGGCCGCGGUAUCCUAACCGCGCGAAGGUAGCAUAAUCACUUGUUCUUUAAAUGGGGACUCGUAUCAACGGCAUCACGAGGGUUUUACUGUCUCCUCUUUUUGAUCAGUGAAAUUGAUCUUCCCGUGAAGAAGCGGGAAUAUUAAUAUAAGACGAGAAGACCCCAUGGAGCUUCAAACCAAAUAACAACUUAACCACUUAACCCAUAAUAAAUUUAAGCCAUGUUAUAAGGUUUUGGGUUGGGGUGACCGCGGAGUAAAGCACAUCCUCCACGACGGAAAGAACACAAUCUUUAUUUAAGAACUACAAUUCUAGAAAUUAGUAUACUAACGUUUACUGACCCGAUCACAUGAUCAACGGACCA
This 406-nucleotide ribosomal RNA is filed under the name Polypedates impresus. RNAcentral describes it as "partial 16S ribosomal RNA". It matches the Rfam family "Bacterial large subunit ribosomal RNA", at positions 1834 to 2459 of the family's 2925-position model. Lineage: Eukaryota; Metazoa; Chordata; Amphibia; Anura; Rhacophoridae. The record is from RNAcentral.